CGAACGCUGGCGGCGUGCCUAAUACAUGCAAGUCGAGCGGAUUUAUCCUUCGGGAUAAGUUAGCGGCGGACGGGUGAGUAACACGUAGGCAACCUGCCUAUAAGACUGGGAUAACUAUCGGAAACGAUAGCUAAGACCGGAUAACUGAUUUUCUCGCAUGAGAAAAUUAUGAAACACGGAGCAAUCUGUGGCUUAUAGAUGGGCCUGCGGCGCAUUAGCUAGUUGGUAGGGUAACGGCCUACCAAGGCGACGAUGCGUAGCCGACCUGAGAGGGUGAACGGCCACACUGGGACUGAGACACGGCCCAGACUCCUACGGGAGGCAGCAGUAGGGAAUCUUCCGCAAUGGACGCAAGUCUGACGGAGCAACGCCGCGUGAGUGAUGAAGGUUUUCGGAUCGUAAAGCUCUGUUGCCCUAGACGAACAGCAAGAGGAGUAACUGCCUUUUGUGUGACGGUAUAGGAGAAGAAAGCCCCGGCUAACUACGUGCCAGCAGCCGCGGUAAUACGUAGGGGGCAAGCGUUGUCCGGAAUUAUUGGGCGUAAAGCGCGCGCAGGCGGUCAAUUAAGUUGGGUGUUUAAGCCCGGGGCUCAACCCCGGUUCGCAUCCAAAACUGGUCGACUUGAGUGUAGGAGAGGAAAGUGGAAUUCCACGUGUAGCGGUGAAAUGCGUAGAGAUGUGGAGGAACACCAGUGGCGAAGGCGACUUUCUGGCCUAUAACUGACGCUGAGGCGCGAAAGCGUGGGGGAGCAAACAGGAUUAGAUACCCUGGUAAU
Molecule: ribosomal RNA, 775 nt
Filed under: uncultured Paenibacillaceae bacterium
Lineage: Bacteria; Bacillati; Bacillota; Bacilli; Caryophanales; Paenibacillaceae
Description: bacterial SSU rRNA
Rfam family: Bacterial small subunit ribosomal RNA
Source: RNAcentral